AAUAAUGUUGUUGGUCUUUAUCAAUUGAGUCCUGCGCUUUGGUUCAUAUGCUCAAAGGGUUUUCGUUUCGUUAAAUGGAGAUUCACGAGAUUGUUCGUGUCAAUAGUCUUUCCCUGCAAAUUAUGACUGAUCUAGUGGAUCACUAAAACAAUUUU
Long non-coding RNA from Cucurbita maxima (winter squash), 155 nucleotides. RefSeq lists it as uncharacterized. The record is from RefSeq and is a predicted model, not a curated record. The transcript is spliced from 3 exons. Lineage: Eukaryota; Viridiplantae; Streptophyta; Magnoliopsida; Cucurbitales; Cucurbitaceae.